AGAAAUUUAGGUUAAGCAGACCGGAAGCCUUCAAAGCUUCAAGUAAGCCCCCUACCGCUUAAUUUCUG
This 68-nucleotide transfer RNA is filed under the name Tupaia belangeri (northern tree shrew). RNAcentral describes it as "tRNA (ENSTBEG00000021320.1)". The record is from RNAcentral. Lineage: Eukaryota; Metazoa; Chordata; Mammalia; Scandentia; Tupaiidae.